Long non-coding RNA from Passer domesticus (house sparrow), 2099 nucleotides. RefSeq lists it as uncharacterized. Lineage: Eukaryota; Metazoa; Chordata; Aves; Passeriformes; Passeridae. The transcript is spliced from 3 exons. The record is from RefSeq and is a predicted model, not a curated record.
CCUGCUUAAAAGGCAGCACUUUGGGAAGCAGGGGAAUAGCUCAGAUCCCAGAGCCACACUCAGGUGGAAUUCUGGGCCUCCAACCCCCAGCAGCCUACAGGGGGUGUUUGUACUCCCAGGGGAUUGCAAGAAUUCAUCACCUAAUGAACUAAAACCAAUCAAUGCAGAGAUUUGGCAACAACCUGCCAGCACUUCUGUGCCUGGCUGGCAGGAGGAGUUCUCCAGGGGAUGUUACUGUGUCCAUUUACAGAGAAAUUCAAAAGGUCCAGGUGGGAUAAAGAGAAGAAAGAAAAGGAACCUUUUCUGUUUCUUUUCUUCUUUUUUGAAGAAAAGGAACAUCCCCAGGCUGGCACAGGGAUACAGGGAUGAGAAAGCUUUUGGCCCAAAAAUCUACACCCUUACAGGAGCUUAACCACGUAACUAAGGAAAGCACUUUUCCAAGUGGAAUAAAUGAAGUGGCACUGCACAGAGCUGUAGCAGAACCCUGUGGCAGGAAAGGCAGGGCUUUUGGGCAAGUGAGAGCUGCUGAAAAAGCAGGGUGUGGAGCACUGCUGCCAGCAGGAACUUACGCUGCGUGACCUCCAUCUCCGGGAAGUAGAAGAAGCGCUCGUUGCACAUGUUGCCCUCACAGCAACAGAAAAACACGUCAGGGCUGUCCUUCUUCUCUAUGCAAUCAUUCCUGCAGGAGAGAAGGGGGAAACGUUCAUUCAUCUGGAGCUGGCUUGGCUUUGUUCAGGAGAAAACAUGUGCCCAGCUUUCAGAUUGCCAAGGUGAACUUUGUUAAAUUGACCGUGACCAAAAUAACAGCUAAAUUUAAUGAAAUAAAAUAAAUUUUGAUAUCUUAUACUGCAAUGAAGUGUUAUUAAAACAGAAACACAUUUCUGUCAUUUUUAAGACAAAGUUACAGAAAACCACCACCAGACUGAGGAACAGUUCACAAGCUAGAUUUAAACAGGACAAGCAAAUGAUCAAACAAGGCUGGAGAUAAGUGAGAAGGAGAAUUUUUAAAUUUUAUUGUAUUUGUAGAAAGAAAUUAUAAAAUUUCUACAAUCUCCUCUGCCUACAUUAUGCUCAGGGACAGAGCUUAUUUUAUUCUCUGAAUUAAGUGCAGGAAUGGCUUUUUUUCUAAUGUUCUGCUAACAAAUAAGCUGAAACUAUUCCCAUCAGGAAAGAAAAAGCAGCAACCAGGAGCCAACCUGACAGCAGAACUGGAAAAGGCUGAAGAAAUACUGCAGGAUUUUAAACACGGCUGAAGAUUGUCAAGGAGGUUUUGGGCUCGUCUUCAAAACUUGGGGUUAUUCCCUAGAGCCAGCUCUGGCUGUCACCCUGUCCUGUGACUUCCAGGGGACAUUUUCUCUUUGAUGUGCUGAAUCUGCUGUGUUUGGAGUCACCCCCAGCUCCCAGAGCAGCAGAAGCACCCCACGCUCCAGAGAUAAGAUUUGGGCUGUUCUGGACAAACACAGCGCUGGCUGUGAUUAGCACAAGUCACUUAAUGAGGAUUUACAGUUACUCACUUUCCUGCUCCUUCCUUACUGUCCUUCCUGCGUUUCAUUUCUUCUUCCAAUUUCUUUUCUUUGCUCAAGGAAGAUUUUAAUCUCAUGAUUUUAGGAUUUUUUUAAGAUUGUGGAACUGAGCUUUAAACUGUCAUUAAAGCAGAAAACACCUUGAUUUGGGAGAAAGGAAUGCAAGGCUUUCUUCUAAAAAUUCAACUUUAAAGAAAUACAAAGCAAGACUUCCGUAAAAAAUACUGAAAUAAUUCCUCAAUACUUUUUAAUGAUGAUCCAUUGUGGAUCUGUUUCUUAGUUCUCUGCCUUCCCAAAUAAUAAAUGUUUUGGGCCAAUAAAACCCAGUAGAGUAUUUAAAAAGCUGCAACACCAUUGCUUAAGAGAGUCAUGACCUUUAUUCAGUCAGCAUCUAACAAACCCCAAGUCCUGCUGUUACUGCUUGUGGGUUCUUUCUGGACCAUCUGUUAUCAACAAAAUAACUGGAAAUUUAGAAUAUUCUUAGAGCUGCCAUUGAGCUUAUUAAUAAACUGCCAAAAUACUUCCAUGAUCUGGUAAAUUGCAGACACAAAGUGCUGACUUUCCAACUCUAAACGA